GACGUAGGGGGCGAGCGUUGUUCGGAUUUACUGGGCGUAAAGCGCGCGUAGGCGGCUAGAUAAGUCGGGUGUGAAAUCCCUCGGCUUAACCGAGGACCCGCAUCCGAUACUGUUUGGCUCGAGUCUAGGAGAGGAAAGCGGAAUUCCCAGUGUAGCGGUGAAAUGCGUAGAUAUUGGGAGGAACACCCGUGGCGAAGGCGGCUCUCUGGACUAGUACUGACGCUGAGGCGCGAAAGCUAGGGGAGCGAACGGG
RNAcentral lists this ribosomal RNA (253 nucleotides) under uncultured bacterium. RNAcentral's name for it is "partial 16S ribosomal RNA". It matches the Rfam family "Bacterial small subunit ribosomal RNA", at positions 524 to 776 of the family's 1533-position model. The record is from RNAcentral.